Molecule: ribosomal RNA, 383 nt
Filed under: uncultured eukaryote
Lineage: Eukaryota
Description: partial 18S ribosomal RNA
Rfam family: Eukaryotic small subunit ribosomal RNA
Source: RNAcentral
CAAUAGCGUAUAUUAAAGUUGUUGCAGUUAAAAAGCUCGUAGUUGGAUUUCUGGUGGGAGCGAUCGGUCUGGCGCUUAGCGCGAGUACUUGCAUCGUCUCCGGCCAUCCUUGGGGAGAGUCUGUCUGGCAUUAAGUUGUCGGGCAGAGGAUCCUCAUCGUUUACUGUGAAAAAAUUAGAGUGUUCAAAGCAGGCUUAUGCCGUUGAAUAUAUUAGCAUGGAAUAAUAAGAUAGGACUUUGGUACUAUUUUGUUGGUUUGCGCACCAAAGUAAUGAUUAAUAGGGACAGUUGGGUGUAUUCGUAUUCCGUUGUCAGAGGUGAAAUUCUUGGAUUUACGGAAGACGAACUACUGCGAAAGCAUUUACCAAGGAUGUUUUCAUUAA